CCCUUAGAUGUUCUGGGCCGCACGCGCGCUACACUGAUGCAUUCAACGAGUUUCUUCCUGGUCCGAGAGGAAUGGGUAAUCUUUUGAAAGUGCAUCGUGAUAGGGAUAGACUAUUGCAAUUAUUGGUCUUCAACGAGGAAUUCCUAGUAGACGUAGUUCAUCAGACUGCAUCGAUUACGUCCCUGCCCUUUGUACACACCGCCCGUCGCUCCUACCGAUUGAAUGCUCAGGUGAGCCAUUCGGACUUUCAUCAUGCUGGUUUCCAGUUUUGAUGAAGGAAAGUCUUGCGAACCUUAUCAUUUAGAGGAAGGAGAAGUCGUAACA
RNAcentral lists this ribosomal RNA (324 nucleotides) under uncultured eukaryote. RNAcentral's name for it is "partial 18S ribosomal RNA". It matches the Rfam family "Eukaryotic small subunit ribosomal RNA", at positions 1470 to 1796 of the family's 1831-position model. The record is from RNAcentral.